UACGAAGGGUGCUAGCGUUGUUCGGAAUCACUGGGCGUAAAGCGCGCGUAGGCGGCUUUUCAAGUCAGGGGUGAAAUCCCACAGCUCAACUGUGGAACUGCCUUUGAAACUAGCAAGCUUGAGUGUCGGAGGGGAUAGCGGAAUUGCUAAUGUAGAGGUGAAAUUCGUAGAUAUUAGCAGGAACACCGGUGGCGAAGGCGGCUAUCUGGACGACAACUGACGCUGAGGCGCGAAAGCACGGGGAUCAAACAGG
Molecule: ribosomal RNA, 253 nt
Filed under: uncultured bacterium
Lineage: Bacteria
Description: partial 16S ribosomal RNA
Rfam family: Bacterial small subunit ribosomal RNA
Source: RNAcentral